This is an RNA transcript of Triticum dicoccoides, 2609 nucleotides long. RefSeq lists it as uncharacterized. The transcript is spliced from 6 exons. The record is from RefSeq and is a predicted model, not a curated record. Lineage: Eukaryota; Viridiplantae; Streptophyta; Magnoliopsida; Poales; Poaceae.
CGCACGAUCUGGCUCGACCGAUUCACCUUGCUGGCAACUUCUCAUCCCGCUGUAAAAAAUCCAGCCGCUCGUUCCUAUAUACAUUGCUCUUUUCUGCUCAGGUGGAUGACCGGUGGGCCUCUAUUCCUUGCGGGCCAGCUUCACAGUGUGCAUCUGGUGUGUGGGUCGCGUGCCUCUUCGGUGAAAAGCCUGCGGGCCCCGUGUUCCCCUCGAGUUCCCCUUCGCCUCUCACCUCCUCCAUCCACGGCCGGUCGUGAGAGAGAGCCGGCGGAAGCAGGGGCCAGAUCAAGGAGGGUGUUGGCGACCUAGGUGCAGGCCGCCGGCGUGGGUCUGGCGGGCGUGGCGGCCGGCGUGGUUCUGGCGGGCUUGGCGGCUGACGGCGAUCUGGCGGGCGUGGCUGGAGCUAGAAGGGCAGCAGUAGCCUGUGGGGUGGCCACCGGACCGACAGCGACUUCAAUGAAGGGGAACGGUCUGGCAGGCGCAUGCAGGCGGGAGAAGCUGGGGGCGCUCGUCGGUUGGGAAGAUGGCGACCACUUGAGCUUCUCCGAUCGAUCUGGACAGGGCCACUACAGCACAAGCAAGGGGUGGGCGCGAGCAACUCUAUGGAUCCACACACGUCUACAGCCCAUACAUAGAUGACAGGCCUGCAAGGAAAGGAGCAGAAGAAAACAUGCUUGGCUGUUUGUUUCCAGGAAGUAACGAUCAAAGAAGAAGAGUUAGAUGCUGCUUUGAUGGUAAACAUAUGCUUUAUUUUGGGAAGCAUAUGUUCUUGGUGCUUAAUAGCUUUGCAUUAACCUUCAAGGUUUGCCUUCCCAAUUUUAUCUCAUCGUCUUUGAUCCAGUUAGUGCCCAGCUUCUUCUGCUCUUGGUGAAAUAUCAAUAGAUGGAAGUCAGCCUAGGCAUAUGUGUACUAAUUUAGGAUAUUUCGAGUUUGGGGUUAGUUCAUAGUAGAGCUUGCUUUGCACUAUGUAUCUACCCGCCUUCAACACUAUGGUCUGUCUGCUGGGAUGUUUUGACAAGCACAGUAUACUCCCCUGGGAAGUUUUUUUGCUCUGCUUUGAGGGCAUGUUGAAUUGUGAGUGACUUCAUUGAGCAUAUCAGGAGAUUGAUAGAUAGUGCGAGAGCUGGUAAGAUUAUUAGGAAGUUACAUAAUUUUACAGCAUUAAUCUGAAUCUCAUACUCACACAUGAAUGGUGUCGGUUCCUAACAUUUAGCAUUUCUACGAUUUGCCCUUUUUAACUAUAUCCAAAAUGCAGAGAAGCGAGUUUUAUUUUCCAGGAGCUCUUAUGUUGCAGCUGAUACUAUUUUAUUCCCUUCAUCAUUUAUGAGGUCAGUACUAAUUUCACUUCCUCCCUCUUCUAUGAUUAAUCCACCAUGCCGAUAUGCUUCAUGACGACCAUGCUUUUGCCAUCCCUCACCCUCUCAGAUAAAUCGAGAGCAACACCAGCCUAAACUUCAUCUGAUCUCGAAAAAAGGGAAUAUAAACCAGCUAGACCAUCUACCCAGGCCAUCAUCUUCUUAUUUUUCACGCCUUGGAUAGUAUAUCUUGAAAUGGUACUGUUCAUGCCAAAUUUAUUUAUUUAUUUUAACCUUAUGGAUGCAAAUAUUUGUUGAUAUAUUAGUGGUCAAAGUUAUAAUGUUUAAUUAAUACAUCUAGCGCUGAUACAUAUUCACCACAUAUGAAUUACUUAUUUGACCGUUUAGCUAAAUGCAUUGUUGUUUGCAUUUUGAGAAGGGUGAUGUUCUGAUUUGUGCUGAUAUUCAUCUUUCUUUCUUUCUAAAGAUAUUCGAGAAAGAAGAUAGUAGGACAAGGCUAAAGGGGAACUAUGGUUAAAAGCUUUCUUUCUUUUGUUGUGACCUGUCUUACCUGGUUCUGCUUGAUAUGUUACUAAGCCGGGAUCAUGUAGUAACUAUGUUUAAUUAAAAUUUAGGUCAGUGGGAGCCUCUCCCACUGUCUUUCACUGGUCAAAAAAAGCUUGGAUCGUGUAAUCUUCUAACCUUCACUAAUCUUUCAUGCAUAAGCAGAGUUGCGUCCACAGUGGAGGCGCAAAUCAAGAAGGUUGACUGAGGAGAUGAGGUUGGGUGCCGAGCACAUGGCAGGAUGAAGAGAUUCUAUGAUCAGUCUCUAAAUAUUGUUACUUGCAUGGUUUGAGUGUUUGGUUCACUCUCGCCUUUUGCGCCAUUGGCAUAAUAGAAAACAAAAUCUGCACCAUGAUGAUUUGCAUCUACCGAUGCCGCUUUGCAAUCAGAAGACAUGCUGCAGAGAAUAAACAAGCAUCAUUGGGUUUCUGCUUUCACCAACAACAGCCCACCAAAUGCACCUACCAUGAAAAGCUGCUUGGAUGAUAGAAUCAUGUUUGAUACCUCUGCCUAAUACCACCACUUCCAUGUCUUGAUUGUUCCUGCUGGUGGCAGAUAUAAGACUCAGGCAAAGGUUAACAGAUAAGCGCUAUACAUAUGAUGCAUCUCUGCUAAUAUAGUUUGCUUCAUAAAGCCAAUGUAUGCUAUUAUCAAGUGAUCUCAAUAAUUUAUUUAACCUAUCAUGCUACCAUGUAGUGGAAUAUAUAAUACUAUAUGUACCUAAGUAUUUAUUAAGUUGGUUCUGAAUCA